AGUCAUAUGCUUGUCUCAAAGAUUAAGCCAUGCAUGUCCCAGACUAAGCUUUUCAUAGCGAAUCUGUGAAUGGCUCAUUAUAACAGUUAUAAUGUUAUUGGCUAUCUCUGUUACAUGGAUACCUGUGGUAAUUCUAUAGCUAAUACAUGCUUGCAGACCCAACUUAUUGGAAGAGUUGUUCUUGCUAGUUCUAGAACUAAUCCUGGCUUGCCCAGGGAUUUUGGUGAAUGACAACAAGACAAUGAAUCACAUAGCUUCUGCUGGUGAUACAUCUUUUCAAUUUCUGACCUAUCAGCUUUUGAUGGGAAGGUAUUGGCUUCCUGUGGCAAUGACGGGUGACGGAGAAUUAGGGUUUGAUUCCGGAGAGGGAGCCUGAGGAAUGGCUACCACAUCUAAGGAAGGCAGCAGGCGCGCAAAUUACCCAAUCUUGACAUAAGGAGGUAGUGACAACAAAUAACAAUACAGGGCAUCCAUGUCUUGUAAUUGGAAUGGGCUUAAGCCAAUCAUUUUUGCGAGAACCCAU
This 523-nucleotide ribosomal RNA is filed under the name uncultured eukaryote. RNAcentral describes it as "bacterial SSU rRNA". It matches the Rfam family "Eukaryotic small subunit ribosomal RNA", at positions 22 to 548 of the family's 1831-position model. The record is from RNAcentral.